RNAcentral lists this ribosomal RNA (380 nucleotides) under uncultured eukaryote. RNAcentral describes it as "partial 18S ribosomal RNA". It matches the Rfam family "Eukaryotic small subunit ribosomal RNA", at positions 592 to 975 of the family's 1831-position model. The record is from RNAcentral.
CAAUAGCGUAUAUUAAAGCUGUUGCGGUUAAAAAGCUCGUAGUUGGAUUUCUGUCAAGGACAACUGGUCCGCCCUCCGGGUGAGCACAUAGUUUGGUCUUGACAUCUUGCUGGAAGCUGUUGCUGCACUUGGCUGUGUGGCGCAGUGUUCAGCACUUUCACUUUGAGGAAAUUGGAGUGUUUCAAGCAGGCACAUGCCUUUGGACACAGUAGCAUGGAAUAAUUAGAUUGGGCUUUUGCUCCAAUUUGUCGGUUUCUGGAGCUGAGGUGAGUAUUAAUGGGGAUUGUUGGGGGCAUCCGAAUUUAGCCGUCAGAGGUGAAAUUCUUGGAUUUGUUAAAGACGGACUACUGCGAAAGCAUUUGCCAAGGAUGUUUUCAUUG